GAAAAAAAUCUUCGCGCAUACGCAUUCACCUUCUUCAUCUACGCCACAGUGUGCUUUGGCCACGUGUCUGGAAAGAGGGAUUAAUCACGAUUCAUCCGCUGGAGUUAAGGUUGCUGCUUGUGGAAUUUGGAGCUGUGGAGAUUUGAGCUGUGCUCCAAAAGUGCAUGUAAAGAGUUCCCGAAUCGAAGUGAAGUGUGAAUGCAUCCUUCAAGCUGUGAUUAUAUACCUGAAUGAGAACCCUCAAAAUAUCAUCAGA
This is a long non-coding RNA of Pelmatolapia mariae (spotted tilapia), 256 nucleotides long. RefSeq lists it as uncharacterized. Lineage: Eukaryota; Metazoa; Chordata; Actinopteri; Cichliformes; Cichlidae. The record is from RefSeq and is a predicted model, not a curated record. The transcript is spliced from 3 exons.